GGGAGAAGAGAAGAAGAGAAGAGAAGAAGAGAAAAAUGCACCUGAGUAAUCACUGUAUAACGAAUACAGAUCAAGGUUCGCAGUGGUUGCCAGCACGUUGUGUCAGACCAUUCCUGAAGAAGCUCAAGCCAACAGUUGAAGAAGCAGAAGCGGCACCUGGUGGUGAAACUGAUUUGUUAUCUGACCUUCAGCUAGACGACAACAACGAGGGGUGAUCCAAAAUUGACUAAUCCCAACCCUUUGGGACAAUGUAACGUAGCCUCUCUGAUUAUCUAUACAGCAUGCCAAUGAUGUUGUGGGUAUUACAGUGUGUAGUAAGGAUUGUCUUAGUAUUGUUGGACUUAAGCAAUGCUUUUUGGCUUCCCUCUCAACCAAAGACUAAUAUUUGGAUAACUUUAGCCAACAUCACAGGUCAAGACCCUGUUUAGCUACUGCAUCUCCAGGCAAUCCUUUUUCAACAUGUUUGGUUGGUGUUCCACUAGACACCUGGCCUAUCCCCGAAAACAAGAGGCAGCUGGCUGGUGGUCAAAAUGUGACAAAUAAUUGGGAUGGCUGGGUCGUAGACCUACCACAGGGUAGUUUGGAACCCCAAGAAAUUGAGUUACUAGGAUCAUUAAAAAUGGAUUUUUGUCUAUAUUUCUAUUCUUCAGGAAAAAAUACCUCUCUUGUGCAAGUGAUAAACGCCUGAUCAGCUGUAUAUCACAAUCAGAGUUUUUGGUGUAAUUAUACCAGUCCCAAUGUAUCUAAGGCCACCAACACCCCUUUGAAAUUACCCCCAGGAAUUUUUAAUUUGUGGCAAUAGAGCCUGGCAAGGGAUUCCUUUCCACAUAAAAGAAGGGCCAUGUUCUUUAGGGAGGUUAACCUUAUUAUCUCCAAACACAUCAACCAUUUUAAUGCCUAAAAGAGGAAAAAGAAGUAUUCACGCCUUUGAUAAAGAUUGUAAGGAUAAUAUAGAAUUUUGGGGAACGAGUGAAACUGUAUUGGCCUCCAUUUUUGCACCCGGAGUCACAGUAGCAAAUGCUUUGAAUAUGGUUAACAAAUUAGGAUGUUGGUUAGCAAAACAGACUAACACCACCUCCUCAGCAUUGUCUGGGCUUUUAGCAGACGUUGAUUCAGUUAGACAUGCUACGCUUCAAAAUUGUGCUGCCAUAGAUUUUUUGUUGUUAGCGGAAAGACACGGUUGUGAAGAUUUUAAUGGGAUGUGUUGCAUGAACUUGUCUGAUCAUUCUGAAUCAAUUCACAAAGCGUUUAGAAGGUUAGAUGAUAUGACCAAGAAAUUAACCUGUGAAGACUGGGGUUUAGACGAAUGGUUGCAUGGUUGGGGUAUUACAGGAUGGAUUAAGGAUCUAAUAAAAAAUGGUCUAGUUCUAUUGAUGGUUGUAUUAGUAAUAUUAAUGCUUGUCCCUUGUAUCUUACAAUGUGUACAACAUACAGUAGAAAAAGCUAUGAAAGGUCUAUGCCUAGUUGAAAAACAAAAAGGGGAAAUUGUGGAAUAUCUUACAGACAGUCAUCUUGAGUUACUGGAAUGACCUUGACCAAAAUAGAAUGAGAAAUCAGACCGUUUUUGUACAAGAAAAUAUAUUUAUAAUGUGUUAGCCAAACUGCUAGAGCACGUGAAAGAUUAAGUAGACCAAUCGCAAGAAAGCUUUGAGUCCGUGAACAGCUGGCAUAAGCCAAUUAAAACACGUGUACAACAGCUACUGACUAUAAAUGUAAGUGCCUUGUUGAAAUAAAAUGUCUCUUGGUUCACCCGCA
Columba livia (rock pigeon) is the source of this 1755-nucleotide long non-coding RNA. RefSeq lists it as uncharacterized. Lineage: Eukaryota; Metazoa; Chordata; Aves; Columbiformes; Columbidae. The transcript is spliced from 2 exons. The record is from RefSeq and is a predicted model, not a curated record.